RNAcentral lists this ribosomal RNA (447 nucleotides) under uncultured bacterium. RNAcentral describes it as "bacterial SSU rRNA". It matches the Rfam family "Bacterial small subunit ribosomal RNA", at positions 355 to 825 of the family's 1533-position model. The record is from RNAcentral.
UCGGGAAUUUUGGGCAAUGGGGGAAACCCUGACCCAGCAACGCCGCGUGAAGGAUGAAGUAUUUCGGUAUGUAAACUUCGAAAGAAUAGGAAGAAUAAAUGACGGUACUAUUUAUAAGGUCCGGCUAACUACGUGCCAGCAGCCGCGGUAAUACGUAGGGACCAAGCGUUGUUCGGAUUUACUGGGCGUAAAGGGCGCGUAGGCGGCAUGACAAGUCACUUGUGAAAUCUCUGGGCUUAACCCAGAACGGCCAAGUGAUACUGUCGCGCUAGAGUGCAGAAGGGGCAAUCGGAAUUCUUGGUGUAGCGGUGAAAUGCGUAGAUAUCAAGAGGAACACCUGAGGUGAAGACGGGUUGCUGGGCUGACACUGACGCUGAGGCGCGAAAGCCAGGGGAGCAAACAGGAUUAGAUACCCAUGUAGUCCCUGAGCGGGCUGGCAAGGCGCAU